This 488-nucleotide ribosomal RNA is filed under the name Teleopsis dalmanni. RNAcentral's name for it is "partial 16S ribosomal RNA". The stretch from base 253 to 411 matches the Rfam family "Bacterial large subunit ribosomal RNA", at positions 2473 to 2632 of the family's 2925-position model. Lineage: Eukaryota; Metazoa; Arthropoda; Insecta; Diptera; Diopsidae. The record is from RNAcentral.
GCUGUUUCAUUUAAAAUUUAAUUAGAAUUUUAUUUUUUAGUUAAAAAGCUAAAAUAUAUUCAAAAGACGAGAAGACCCUAUAAAUCUUGAUUAUUUAAUAAUUUUUAGUUUAUUUUGAUUUUUUUUGUUAUAAAUUUAUUAAUUAAUUUUAUUGGGGUGAUAUUAAAAUUUAAAUAACUUUUAAUAAUUUUUAUCAUUUAUUUAUGAUUAAGUGAUCCAUUAUUAGUGAUUAAAAAAUUAAGUUACUUUAGGGAUAACAGCGUAAUUUUUUUGGAGAGUUCUUAUCGAUAAAAAAGUUUGCGACCUCGAUGUUGGAUUAAGAUUCAUAUUUAAAUGUAGAAGUUUAAAUAUAAAGUCUGUUCGACUUUUUAUUCUUACAUGAUCUGAGUUCAAACCGGUGUAAGCCAGGUUGGUUUCUAUCUUUGAUUUAGUAAAAUAUUUUAGUACGAAAGGAAUUAAUAUUUAUUUUUUAAAAAUUAAUUUAUGAA